Myotis davidii is the source of this 494-nucleotide long non-coding RNA. RefSeq lists it as uncharacterized. Lineage: Eukaryota; Metazoa; Chordata; Mammalia; Chiroptera; Vespertilionidae. The transcript is spliced from 2 exons. The record is from RefSeq and is a predicted model, not a curated record.
AAUGUUCCCAGGCUUUUUCUCGCCCGUGUUUUGCUUUCUACCCUGGACUUUUGAAGAAUCAUUGUCACCAUAAUAUUACUGAAUGCAUUUCUGAAAGGUAGGGUGCAUCUAAAGGCAGAACCACGUGCCUCUGCUGUUCGCAACUUGUUUGUAAAACCAGACGUUUCUCUUGCUUUCAGGAUGAUGAAGUUUUGUUUCCGGAGACGUCAAGUUUAGCCUCAUGGAAGGCAGAGACCAAUUGCGGCCGCCUGAAAAACUGAGAGCUGAUGCCAGUUUGAUUUAGCUCAGGAGGCUGAAAUUUUAUGCCCUGAAGGCUGGUGUGAUGGAAUAGACCUUCUCAUUGCUCACAAUAUUAUGAAAAAAACAUUAAAGCAACAAUUUUUAUUACUUGCCCUGGAGCCAGAGCUUUAAAAUGUACUUUCUUCUCCCCCUACCCUCCCUAACCCACUUAGCUUUUAAAAAUAAACAACCCAUUCAUGUGCUGGCUAUCGCCA